UUGGGUUUAUAAUUUAGUCAUUUUGAAAAAGGUGUAUUAUUGAAAAUAGACAACAAGAAAGGGUAUUUUACAAAUAUCUCUUUAUAGAUCUUGUCUUGUUAUUUUCAAAAAAAAAAUUAACCUAACGUAUUCAACUUUUCAAAAAAAAAGUUAUCUUUUUUCGUCGAAUCAUUUACAUUGAUAUCAAAAAGUGUUGUUAAUAAUAAUGGUUUUCCAAAUUUUGUUUGGAUCUUGUUAAAACCAUCGGUUGAAACUUUUCUG
Molecule: long non-coding RNA, 261 nt
Filed under: Capsella rubella
Lineage: Eukaryota; Viridiplantae; Streptophyta; Magnoliopsida; Brassicales; Brassicaceae
Description: long non-coding RNA (CRUB_LNC003024)
Source: RNAcentral